RNAcentral lists this unclassified non-coding RNA (321 nucleotides) under uncultured fungus. RNAcentral describes it as "partial contains 18S rRNA, ITS1, 5.8S rRNA, ITS2 and 28S rRNA". Lineage: Eukaryota; Fungi. The record is from RNAcentral.
AAGGAUCAUUAUUGAAUAAACUUGAUGGGUUGUCGCUGGCUUCUAGGAGCAUGUGCACGCCUGUCAUCUUUGUCCAUCCACCUGUGCACCUUCUGUAGUCUUGGAGAUAAUGAGCGUGUGUGACACUUGUCGGGGUAAACCAAUUCAUUGGUCCUCGGAAAGAGGCCUGCCACACGAAAGUAUGGCUGACCUUGGUACUCGCGCAAGUUUCUCCGAGUCUAUGUCUUUCAUAUACCACGUAAAAUGUCUUAGAAUGCUUUCAUUAGGUCUUAGUGCCUAUAAAACACAAUACAACUUUCAGCAACGGAUCUCUUGGCUCUC